This 354-nucleotide long non-coding RNA is filed under the name Ursus americanus (American black bear). RNAcentral describes it as "lncRNA (ENSUAMG00000005906.1)". The record is from RNAcentral. Lineage: Eukaryota; Metazoa; Chordata; Mammalia; Carnivora; Ursidae.
CGGCAUCGCAGGAGUGGUGGCGCAGCUGUUUCCUCUGGUAGGUGUUCCGCUGCCAUCUUGUGUGUGGCUAGGACUGGGCUUCUUGACGGUUGAACGCUUACUUAGUGGCUCCAGAGAGCUACUCCGUAAUCUUUGUCUCGGAAGAUUGACCGUCACCCCUCUUUAAGGAGGUUGUCUGAUGGACUGCCUGAUUCAGGAAGGAACAAGGCUGGUCAUUAAUAGAAGGGGAGAGAGGGAGAUGCCUCACCACUAUCCUCAGAAGCUGUGUUGAUCAGUGACUGGUGAAGGCUAAGAAAGUUGAAACAAAUUUGCAGAUGAUAUACAACUUCUAAGGUAAGCUGAUAUAACAACUCA